This 83-nucleotide transfer RNA is filed under the name Gryllotalpicola protaetiae. It matches the Rfam family "tRNA". Rfam says of the family: Transfer RNA (tRNA) molecules are approximately 80 nucleotides in length. Their secondary structure includes four short double-helical elements and three loops (D, anti-codon, and T loops). The record is from Rfam by way of RNAcentral. Lineage: Bacteria; Bacillati; Actinomycetota; Actinomycetes; Micrococcales; Microbacteriaceae.
GCCGGCAUGGCGGAAUGGCAGACGCGGAGCACUCAAAAUGCUUUGUCCGAGAGGGCGUGAGGGUUCGAGUCCCUCUGCCGGCA